UGUGUAUAUUAAAAAAUAUCCCGUAUAUUCUCGGUGAUAUGGUCCGAAAGUUUCUACGAAGCCGCCGUAAAUGGCUUUGCUACGGGUGUUCAUCUUUGACAU
Molecule: regulatory RNA element, 102 nt
Rfam family: Purine riboswitch aptamer
About the family: Riboswitches are metabolite binding domains within certain messenger RNAs that serve as precision sensors for their corresponding targets. Allosteric rearrangement of mRNA structure is mediated by ligand binding, and this results in modulation of gene expression. A class of riboswitches that selectively recognises guanine and becomes saturated at concentrations as low as 5 nM.
Source: Rfam